RNAcentral lists this ribosomal RNA (403 nucleotides) under uncultured bacterium. RNAcentral describes it as "bacterial SSU rRNA". It matches the Rfam family "Bacterial small subunit ribosomal RNA", at positions 355 to 775 of the family's 1533-position model. The record is from RNAcentral.
UGAGGAAUAUUGCACAAUGGGCGAAGCCUGAUGCAGCAACGCCGCGUGAGGGACGAAGGCCUUCGGGUCGUAAACCUCUUUUCUGGGGGACGAGUAAGGACGGUACUCCAGGAAUAAGUCUCGGCUAACUACGUGCCAGCAGCCGCGGUAAAACGUAGGAGGCGAGCGCUAUCCGGAUUUACUGGGCGUAAAGCGUACGCAGGUGGCUUCGCUAGUCGGACAUGAAAGCUCCUGGCUUAACUGGGAGAGGUUGUUCGAUACUGCGGGGCUUGAGGUUGGGAGAGGGACGUGGAAUUCCCGGUGUAGUGGUGGAAUGCGUAGAUAUCGGGAGGAACACCAGUGGCGCAAGCGGCGUCCUGGCCCACACCUGACGCUGAGGUACGAAAGCGUGGGUAGCAAACAG